Molecule: non-coding RNA, 3936 nt
Organism: Heterocephalus glaber (naked mole-rat)
Lineage: Eukaryota; Metazoa; Chordata; Mammalia; Rodentia; Bathyergidae
Source: RefSeq, a predicted model, not a curated record
CUUCUGGAAGUUUGGCAGAACCUGCGUGCAGACUGCUGGUGUUUUGGCUCGUUUCUGUCUUGCAGUGCCGAGGAUUGAGUCCAGAGCCUAGGCCAAGUUAGGCAAGUUUUCUACCACUGAGUUGCACCCCCUGCCCUGCUGCUGUGUGUGGAAAGUUAACUGCCGUGUAGCUUUUUUCCAUGACCAUUGAUGAUUUUCAGAUUUUCUAUCUCUUCAAAGUCAGUUUGGUACUUUUGGUUGUCCUAGAAAGCCAUUCAUGUCAUUGAAUUUGAACCUAGGGUAGCACAGUGCUCUGUAUAGUUCGUUGGAGGAAAAGAAACUCAUACAUCUGUGAUGUUACCUUUUUCAACACUAGUGUUUAUUGGCCAGACGUGCUUAGUGAUCGCUUAUUGUAUUAAUCUUUUGGAAGAACCAGCUUUGGGAGUUCUCGGUGAGUGCUGCUGAUGUUUAUCCUUCUACAUCAGUCAUUUCUGUUCUUACUAUUUAUCUUUCUGCUUCAUUUAAAUGUACUUUGUGCAAGCUCUAGCCUCCCGAAAAUGGAAAACUUGAAUCAUUUGUUUAACCAGCUGAUCCUCCUCCUAAAACAGGCAAGGUGUUGGAAUUCAUUUUGUUGGCCUCACAUGUUUUUUUGCCCUCCAGUAGCGGGGAUUGAACUCAGGACCUUGCGCUUGCAAGGGAGGCAGCUGCACCACUGAGCUAAUUCCCUGGCCCGAGUUGGUUUGGUUUCAUCCUUGCUCCGUCAAAUCUGACUCAAGGUCCUGCCGUGGUAUCUCUCCCUGGGGUCCAUGUGUAUAACUCCAGAGAAUGUCCUUCAGAAUCGUGACCGUAAAGCCCACUGGAGGAGAACCAGCUUGAGGGAAGUAGAGAGUCCUGGGGUGUUUUGUUGGUUGGUUGGUUGGUUGGUUGGUUUGAAGCUCUGAAGGGGGCCAGGGAUCUACCUCAGUGGUUCUGCUGAGAUGAAGCAUGAAUUCCACUAAUGUUUUCUAUAUGUCCAUUCCCAUUGCUUUACAGUCCCUGGCAGUGUAUAAACCACAGAAGGUUUUGUUGAAACCUGAAUGAGUGCAAGAAUGGCAAGUUUAUCUGUAGGCAGAAGCCAUACAGAGUACCGUGUGGACUCAGUGCUGUAACAGAAACUACCUGAAAAAUGCCAACGAUUGAGAGGACUGUGCUAACAGUGCAUGGGAGAUGGGGUGGGAGACAUCUGUGAGACUGAAUUUGACCAGGAUCAGGUCAUUGACUGGAUCGACAUCUGCUCAGAGAAUGCAGAGAUCACCCUGACUGACUUCAGGGCCUCCCAGACAGUGGUCCUGGAUCCCAAAGCUGAUGCCCAAAUUGACCCCAACUGGGUGGUCCUGAAUCAGGGUACAUGGCUUUUAAUGGAGUUGACUUUGAAGGGACCUUCAAUGUAAACACCCAGACAGAUGAUGACUAUGCAGGUUUUAUCUUUGGUUACCAAGACAGCUCCAGUUUCUACAUGGUCAUGUGGAAGCAGACUGAGCAGACUUACUGGCAAGCCAUGCCUUUCAGAGCUGUGGCAGAGCCUGGCAUUCAGCUCAAGGCUGUGAUGUCCAAGACAGGUCCUGGGGAGCACCUCUGGAACUCCCUGUGGCACACGGGACACUAGUGACCAGGUCAAACUGUGUAGAUGGACUCCAGGAAUGUGGGCUGGAAGGACAAGGUGUCCUACCACUGGUUCCUGCAGCACAGGCCCCAGGUGGGCUAUAUCAGGUAGACAGAGAUUCUUUCUCCACCCCUAGCACCAGAAACAAAGUGCCAUUCCAUUUUGUACCUGGAGUGGGUUCCCUGAGCAUCCCUGAUCUGGAUAGCUCUCUAGGACUUGCCAGGGCUCCCAGAAAAGUGUGGUAAGACAUCUAGACCCACACUGACACCCAGACAGGAUGAGAAGUUGGAGAUGGAAGGAGUGUUGGGGGAGGCCUCAGCCAUGGCCAGAUGAGUAUACAUGCAUGGCAGUGCCCUUGUGCUGUGCUCAUGGGACAGGUCCAGAGUUGGGCUGGUAAUGGGCAUGAAGUAAAAGGCAUGGCUGAAGCAUGAGCACACUCUCCUGAGAUCCCCUCAGACCCUGUGUGAUUUACACAGAAUGACCCAAGCCCUUGACUUGUCUUCCCUGAUGGAUUGUAAAAUCCAGGUGAGCAGCACAUUUCCCUCUUAUUUUUGCCAGCACCCAGCCCAGCUCCUGGCACAAGCUGUUCAUUAGGGAGGUCAGCAUCAUCUGCCUUACUGCUUUUAAGAUACCAUUCCUGAGGACUUCCAAGAGUUUCAAACCCAAUAUUUUGAUCUCUUGGAUAAUUAAAUGGAGGAAGCAAUCUGUUACUGCUUUUUUAAACAUGAAAACUGUGUAUUUUUAAACUUCUUAUUGUUCUGGAAUCAUGGAAAGAAAUACAUGGAGACACAGAAUUCAGGUAUUUUAUCACACCCACAAGGUGGAAAUGGAAAGCUGAUGAACACACCCACAAGAUGCAGAGGAGAGGUCUUGAAUCUGGGAAACCCACUUGACCAUCACGAGAAGUCCUGGCCACAGAGCAGUUGUGGCACCAUGGAUGUACACCUUAAUGCCCCUGAGGAGCCUGAAGAGGGUAUCCAAUGGCAGCACAGGAGAUGAGUGCAGCCACCACUCUUGCCUAAACAACUCUUGGUAGCCACCAGAGCACCAUGCUUAAUUCUCCCAAGUGACUGUCUCCUACCUUCCCACAGAAACCACAAAGGGUCAUAUGGGCUCACCCCAGGAGUGGUAUGUAUGGGUGCCCCAAGCAGUGAUGGUCACCAAGGUAUAUCCACAACUAGAAGCUCUAGCUAGCUCCUGGUAUGGGGCUCAAGUGCUGAUCAGUGAAGACACUGUGCCAUUCCUGCCUUUUAUAGGUGGAAGCCUCAGAGACCAGUUGCUGAACAGGUUAUACACAGUAGCUAGUCAUGCAGGGACAGAGCCAAGUGACAGUUCUUUUGAUGUCGAGACCAUUUGAAGGUGGGAAGAGAUGCAAAAUCCCCCCAAAACUGUCAUUCAGUGCAAGCAAACUGCUCAUGCCUUUCAGCCAGAACCACCAUCUUCCAGUACUCUGCCAAAACGGAAAAAGGAGAGGAACCCGGUGUUGUGUUCUCUGGGCCUUUUAGAAAACAUGGGCCUGUUACUUCGGCCACAUAUAAGAAUCUACAAAAAGGGUGAUAUUGUAGACACAUUCUCAGGUGAGGUGAGGAGGGCAUGACAUGCCAUGCAGGGUUACACAGGUGUCUGCUUGGGAGCACAGUGAAAAAGCAGGGUCUGUAAGAAGCACUCUGUGCAAUCAAGAGGGUGCUUUGGGCCUGUAUGUUGGGGAGGAUGUGAUAGGCUUGUGUGAAUAAUCCUGGGGCUGGCAGGAAGUUAACCUUCUAUGCAAAGACAAGGAAGACCUGCACAUGGGCCCUUUGCAGAGGUUCAUCUGGCCAGGGGAUAGAUACUACCAGCAGAGCAGAGGGGGGAGGAAAAUGUACAGCUAGAUCAUUCAAGGCCUUCUCAGUUUAGCUAUCAAAGAGAUAAUUUGGGCCAUAACUUCAGGCCACAGUUUCUAUAAUUUCUAUUAGAGACAUACAAAAGCAAUUCAAAUGCCCAUCAAUGACAUCUGUAGUCUCAGCAGAAACAUGACUAACAAAACUUUUAGCACACAAUCAAAAUGAUAUGAAGGAAGAAAAGAAACUUGAGACUUUUCUAAAAAGACAGGGCUUAGAGAAACAAUAUACUCAGUGUUUGUCAACCUAAAAAGUUUGAGAAUUUGUCUCCUUGCCCACUGUCCCCACCUCAUAUGGAAAAACCAGUAAUGAUGUUUUUAUCAUGACAAACAUAAAAGAAAGCACCUUCAAAGUGGGAAGAGUAGGGGAAAGGAAAGAAGGGAAUGGCAUAUGACAAAAUGAAAAAAUGGAAACAAAGUCUUUGUUAAAUAGAGAGGG